GAUGAACGCUGGCGGCGUGCCUAAUACAUGCAAGUCGAGCGAACGGACGAGAAGCUUGCUUCUCUGAUGUUAGCGGCGGACGGGUGAGUAACACGUGGAUAACCUACCUAUAAGACUGGGAUAACUUCGGGAAACCGUAGCUAAUACCGGAUAAUAUUUUUAACCGCAUGGUUCAAAAGUGAAAGACGGUCUUGCUUUCACUUAUAGAUUGAUCCGCGCUGCAUUAGCUAGUUGGUAAGGUAACGGCUUACCAAGGCAACGAUGCAUAGCCGACCUGAGAGGGUGAUCGGCAACACUGGAACUGAGACACGGUCCAGACUCCUACGGGAGGCAGCAGUAGGGAAUCUUCCGCAAUGGGCGAAAGCCUGACGGAGCAACGCCGCGUGAGUGAUGAAGGUCUUCGGAUCGUAAAACUCUGUUAUUAGGGAAGAACAUAUGUGUAAGUAACUGUGCACAUCUUGACGGUACCUAAUCAGAAAGCCACGGCUAACUACGUG
This 497-nucleotide ribosomal RNA is filed under the name uncultured bacterium. RNAcentral's name for it is "partial 16S ribosomal RNA". It matches the Rfam family "Bacterial small subunit ribosomal RNA", at positions 28 to 507 of the family's 1533-position model. The record is from RNAcentral.